GCCAUGCCGCGUGUGUGAAGAAGGUCUUCGGAUUGUAAAGCACUUUAAGUUGGGAGGAAGGGUUGUAGCUUAAUACGCUGCAACUUUGACGUUACCAACAGAAUAAGCACCGGCUAACUCUGUGCCAGCAGCCGCGGUAAUACAGAGGGUGCAAGCGUUAAUCGGAAUCACUGGGCGUAAAGCGCACGUAGGCGGACUUU
Molecule: ribosomal RNA, 200 nt
Filed under: uncultured Vexilliferidae
Lineage: Eukaryota; Discosea; Flabellinia; Dactylopodida; Vexilliferidae
Description: partial Bacterial small subunit ribosomal RNA
Rfam family: Bacterial small subunit ribosomal RNA
Source: RNAcentral